RNAcentral lists this ribosomal RNA (256 nucleotides) under uncultured bacterium. RNAcentral's name for it is "partial 16S ribosomal RNA". It matches the Rfam family "Bacterial small subunit ribosomal RNA", at positions 524 to 777 of the family's 1533-position model. The record is from RNAcentral.
UACGUAGGGUGCAAGCGUGUCCGGAAUUAUUGGGGCGUAAAGAGCUCGUAGGCGGUCUGUCGCGUCUGGUGUGAAAAAUCCAGGGCUUAACCCCUGGACCUGCAUCGGGGUACGGGCAGACUAGAGUGCGGUAGGGGGAGAUCGGAAUUCCUGGUGUAGCGGUGAAAUGCUAGAUAUCGGGAGGAACACCAGUGGCGAAGGCGGCGUCUGGGAAGAUACUGACGCUGAGGUGCGAAAACGUGGGGGACAAACAGGG